Caenorhabditis elegans is the source of this 21-nucleotide non-coding RNA. Lineage: Eukaryota; Metazoa; Nematoda; Chromadorea; Rhabditida; Rhabditidae. The record is from Ensembl.
UACCAAUUCGUCAUGUUUAUG